UUAGGGUGCGUUCCUAAAAUCAGCAGCUUGAGAGCGAAAAGCGGCUAAAGGCGUUCUUAAAUUGUGCUGACCGUCAGCGCUUGCAGCGGUUUCUAAGCGAUCGAAAAGACGGCUUGUAGUAAGCAAAUUAAAAUGGCUGACAAUCAGUGGUUCGAAGUGCGUGUGUCAAUUGGUGAUAAAUUGUAUGUAUUACAAAUGACAGAAAACGAUUACUGCAGAUUUUUAAAUGAUCCUACUUUCGCAAAUAAUCUAAUAAAAAGACUUGAAGUUCGUGAGAAUUCGGUACGACUGGAGGGGGAGUCCCCGCGGAGUUCCGACCCCCCUUUUGUCUUGUCCCCCUGAUUGGGGUCUCCUG
Molecule: long non-coding RNA, 355 nt
Filed under: Androctonus crassicauda
Lineage: Eukaryota; Metazoa; Arthropoda; Arachnida; Scorpiones; Buthidae
Source: RNAcentral